Molecule: long non-coding RNA, 2540 nt
Organism: Bufo gargarizans (Asiatic toad)
Lineage: Eukaryota; Metazoa; Chordata; Amphibia; Anura; Bufonidae
Exons: 2
Source: RefSeq, a predicted model, not a curated record
GGGAUGUACGGGCCGGCGCAUGCGCAUUAAAUGCUCUGCUGCCUCAGUUUAUUACUAUAGACACGAUCAGAGCCGAGAUGACUUCUAGGUAUAGAGGAAAGCUAACAGUGUCCUCUUCUCCCCAGGACCUACCUUCUCAAAGGUGCUGCAGGGACCCACAUAUUCAAUCAUCUGGUAGCAUCUUGCGGCUGUGUGAGUAGGUAAUAUUUGAAUGUAUCCGUACUGUGGGCCCCCAAAAUAAAUUUUACUGGUGGGCCCUAGGCACCCCAAUCCGACACUGGUUCCAGAACCUAUCUGUCUGGUUCCUACCUGUAUAUUCGACCUCAGGCUAAUAAUUUUUUUAUUAUUUGGUACAAUUUGAACCCAAAUUUUGAACAUGUCUCUAAUCAGAUGAUUUUUGUGCUAAUAUUUAAAGGAGUAUUCCAAUGCAAGCAAAAAGCUGUACCAGGGGCUGCAAAAAGUAACAGAACAGUACCCACCUUACGCUAGUUUCACACUAGUGUUAGACAUUUCCGGCCGGCUGUUCUGGCAGGGAGCAGCCUGCCGGAGAUAUCUGGACACCUGCCAGUCCCAUUCACUAUAAUGGGAACCAGCAGAGAUCCGUCCGCAACCCAGCAAAUAUGCUGAGGACCAGAUGGUUGAAAAACGCUGCGCACAACGUUUUUAAUCUGCCCCAUUUUUGCCGGGUUGCAGCCAGAUCUCCUCCAGUCCCCUUUAUAGCAAAUUGGGAAGCCAGUGGUGCGGUGGUUUCCGGCAAUGCCAGAAUGCAGAGAGAUCCGGCAGGCUGUUCCUUGCCAGAACAUCCUGCCGGAUAUAAAAACGCUAGUGUAAAAAAUAAAAGAUAAAAAUAAAAACUGCUGCUGCAGUUCUGGUGGUGCCUGAUUCCCACUGCACCCACCUUCCUGCUACUGUCCUUGCAUACCAGAAAACAGCUGUGAAUCAGGAGUGGACUGGCCAUAGACCCUACAGGGAAUGUUCCUGGUGAGCCGAUGUCCAUAGGGUCACCCAAGCUCUCCUCACUGCUGCUGGCCGGAUACAUACUACUAGGGACACUAUCACAGGAAGUCCAGGCAGCAUGGUGAAGGUAGUGCUGUUUUCAUGUUGUGGCCUACAUCUCACCUUCCAACCCCCCUACUCCAUAUUAGAGACAGAACGUGACAGCUAUUGAUGGCCACCACAGAGGGACAGCUUAUGGAGGUAUUUUGUGCUGCACUGUGGUAUGUAGUUCUCUGGGAUGGUAUUCUGUACUGCACUAUGGUAUUAUUGACCCUGCCAACUUGUACUGGCCUCAUCUACUUGUGGUGCUUGUCUUCUGUCAAUUUGGACCCAUCUACAACAUUGGGGCCACUUUAAAGUUUUUUUCAGGGCAACUUUAAGUCCUAUUUCCGCCCCUGCUGUGAAUGCUGCCAUCACCAGCCUCAGCCAGCAACUGGAUCUUUCACCCAAUGAGCCAUAAGUGUCCCUCUUUGACCUUCCUAAAUUUGGGUGAUAUGGGAACAUCAUUCAUACUGAACACAGAGUACUUUCCCCAGAACGAUGAUAAUAGCUUAAUAGAGAUUUGAAUGAUGUUCAAUCGAAAAAGGUAUACCGAUGGAGACGCAGAGAUCCACCGGCUAUACUUAGUUGGACAUUGUCCAUCUCCUCACUGUCAAUGGCAAGUGAUACUAAUAGCCAAACUAGUGGUCAGAACAUUCAAGGGAUGAUCACUCGAUGGAGAGAAAAAAAAAAAAAGGAGAUGGGAGCAUAGAGGACAACCUAAUAAGAAGAGGCAGGAUGGGAGAAGUGAUGGCUACCAAGAAAAUACCUAAAUAUCUAAAGGUAAUAAAUUUAUCUGAACAUCACCUUUCUGAUAUAGACAUUUCGGUUUUACAGAAGGGCCUUACCUUUUCACCUUAUACCCCAUUUAAUGUCUUUGUAGCAGUAAAAGACCUUUACCCAACUGAGGAGGGAGAUUUUAAUACACCUACCGAAAAAGAGACUUUGAUGAUCUUAGAAGGGCUACUACAGGAGCAAUAUACAGGUGAUUCAGACAAUCAGAGGAAUCCCAACAGGCCAAUUCAUUAGAAUUAGAUGGAUUUGCUCCAGUGAUGAAGACUUCGAACAUCAGGCCUGAUAUCAUGAAACAACGCUUUCUUGAAAGAGGAUACAGUAAGAGAUCUAUAAAGAGGGCAUACAAUCAUACAAUAGAGCCAAGAAUAUAUCACGUGCUACUCUGGUCCAUCCAAGACCAAAGAAGGACUUAAAAGACACGGUGAGAUAUAUUACUAAUUAUCACACACAGUGGGAUAAUAUGCGCUCCCUGUUGGAAAGAUUCUAGCCUAUUUUAAUGGCAGACCCCAUUUUAGCCAAAUAUCUGACCUCCUAUCCAGCUAUUGUAGCUGGGAGAUCAAGAAAUCUUAGGGACCAUUUGGUCAAAUCAUAUAAUCACCCAAAAAAAGGUGCUGAAUUCUUUGGAUCAAAGGGACCGAAAUGGGGAUGUAUCCCCUGUGGCAAAUGUGUUGCGCGUCCGAACAUAAUACGAGCUACGGAUUUUAUCGAUU